This 488-nucleotide ribosomal RNA is filed under the name uncultured bacterium. RNAcentral's name for it is "bacterial SSU rRNA". It matches the Rfam family "Bacterial small subunit ribosomal RNA", at positions 30 to 507 of the family's 1533-position model. The record is from RNAcentral.
AUUGAACGCUGGCGGCAGGCCUAACACAUGCAAGUCGAGCGGAAACGAUGGAAGCUUGCUUCCAGGCGUCGAGCGGCGGACGGGUGAGUAAUGCAUAGGAAUCUGCCUGAUAGUGGGGGAUAACGUUCGGAAACGGACGCUAAUACCGCAUACGUCCUACGGGAGAAAGCAGGGGAUCUUCGGACCUUGCGCUAUCAGAUGAGCCCAGGUCGGAUUAGCUUGUUGGUGAGGUAAAGGCUCACCAAGGCGACGAUCCGUAACUGGUCUGAGAGGAUGAUCAGUCACACUGGAACUGAGACACGGUCCAGACUCCUACGGGAGGCAGCAGUGGGGAAUAUUGGACAAUGGGGGCAACCCUGAUCCAGCCAUGCCGCGUGUGUGAAGAAGGCUUUCGGGUUGUAAAGCACUUUCAGUGAGGAGGAAAACCUUACGACUAAUACUCGUGAGGCUUGACGUUACUCACAGAAGAAGCACCGGCUAACUCCGUG